UACGUAGGGUGCGAGCGUUACUCGGAAUUACUGGGCGUAAAGCGUGCGUAGGCGGUUCGUUAAGUCAGCUGUGAAAGCCCCGGGCUCAACCUGGGAACUGCGGUUGAAACUGGCGAACUAGAAUCUGGCAGAGGGGGGUGGAAUUCCACGUGUAGCAGUGAAAUGCGUAGAGAUGUGGAGGAGCACCGAUGGCGAAGGCAGCCCCCUGGGCUGAGAUUGACGCUCAGGCACGAAAGCGUGGGGAGCAAACAGG
Molecule: ribosomal RNA, 253 nt
Filed under: uncultured bacterium
Lineage: Bacteria
Description: partial 16S ribosomal RNA
Rfam family: Bacterial small subunit ribosomal RNA
Source: RNAcentral